Molecule: long non-coding RNA, 458 nt
Organism: Lolium perenne
Lineage: Eukaryota; Viridiplantae; Streptophyta; Magnoliopsida; Poales; Poaceae
Source: RefSeq, a predicted model, not a curated record
CCUAGCCGCCGCGCCGAACGGUUCCUUCGAUCUCUCUCCUCAGCUGAGCUCCCCUGUCUUGCCUCGCUUCACCUCCGAUCGUGCGGGACGACGGACGCGAUCGGAAUCCUAGGCAGUGAUGCGCAAGGCGAUGAGAUGUGGAUCCUUGCGCACGGAGAACUCAUCCGCCGCCAGCAAGCCUCCGCCAGGCACAUCCUCUAUCAACAUCUGAUUCAUCCACUAGCGACCAUUUUCUUUCUAUGUGAGAGCCGAAGUUGGUGCCAACCAACAUGGAGGGGACACAGUACCUGAGAGAAUGCAUUUGAACGAGGGACAUGCUAAAUUGCUAAUGAUGAGCAACAUUCGUUUAGUCAUAUGAAUUUCCUAGAAGUGUAAUUGGAUCUCUAAGUUGAUCUACCCGAUCUGAUCCAGGAAAAGGGGCCAGUCAAUCCAAUUAGAAAUCAGCAAGGUCAAACGUU